UACGAAGGGGGCCAGCGUUGCUCGGAAUUACUGGGCGUAAAGGGCGCGUAGGUGGACAACUUAGUCAGAGGUGAAAGCCCAGGGCUCAACCUUGGAAUUGCCUUUGAUACUGGUUGUCUUGAGUUCGGGAGAGGUGAGUGGAAUGCCGAGUGUAGAGGUGAAAUGCGCAGAUAUCGGGAAGAACACCUAUGGCGAAGGCAGCUCUCUGGGACGGUACUGACGCUGAGACGCGAAAGCGUGGGGAGCAAACAGG
This 253-nucleotide ribosomal RNA is filed under the name uncultured bacterium. Its description in RNAcentral is "partial 16S ribosomal RNA". It matches the Rfam family "Bacterial small subunit ribosomal RNA", at positions 524 to 776 of the family's 1533-position model. The record is from RNAcentral.